Molecule: ribosomal RNA, 279 nt
Filed under: uncultured bacterium
Lineage: Bacteria
Description: partial 16S ribosomal RNA
Rfam family: Bacterial small subunit ribosomal RNA
Source: RNAcentral
UGCCAGCCGCCGCGGUAAUACGGAGGAUGCAAGCGUUAUCCGGAAUUAUUGGGUUUAAAGGGUGCGUAGGCGGGAAAUUAAGUCAGUGGUGAAAGCCCACAGCUCAACUGUGGAACUGCCAUUGAUACUGAUUUUCUUGAAUAUAUGUGAAGUAGAUAGAAUGUGUCAUGUAGCGGUGAAAUGCUUAGAUAUGACGCAGAAUACCAAUUGCGAAGGCAGUCUACUAACAUACUAUUGACGCUGAGGCACGAAAGCGUGGGGAGCGAACAGGAUUAGAUA